UACGUAGGGUGCGAGCGUUGUCCGGAAUUACUGGGCGUAAAGCGUGUGUAGGCGGCCAUAUAAGUCGGAUGUGAAAGCCCUGGGCUCAACCCAGGAAGUGCACUCGAUACUGUAUGGCUUGAGUACUGGAGAGGUUGGUGGAAUUCCUGGUGUAGCGGUGAAAUGCGUAGAUAUCAGGAGGAACACCGGUGGCGAAGGCGGCCCUCUGGACGGAUACUGACGCUGAGGCGCGAAAGCGUGGGGAUCAAACAGG
This 253-nucleotide ribosomal RNA is filed under the name uncultured bacterium. RNAcentral's name for it is "partial 16S ribosomal RNA". It matches the Rfam family "Bacterial small subunit ribosomal RNA", at positions 524 to 776 of the family's 1533-position model. The record is from RNAcentral.